UAUAACGGCUUCAUUGCGCCUUCACAAAAAUGGUCACAACAGAUUACAGCGAAAACAAUGUUGACAAAAAUAAAUCAAAUUUAAAGUAGUUUUGAUUUAUGGCGUGAACAAAAUUAAUGAUGCCACCUAGAAGACGAAAAAAAUAUUGAAAGUGUCUAUAAAGCGAUAAGAAAAUCUAAACAAGCAGACAUGUGGCCGUAUAAGGAAAAGCACCAACAAACAAAUAAAACAAACAGAAAACGAUCAACAAAGCAUAGAAAACCCGCAGUACAACAAACCAAACACAAUCAAAAGCACAAUCAGAAGCAACAAAAAAAUGAAAAAAGAUUUAAGAUCUCGUGAAUACAAUGUAGCCAAAACCAGGAAAAGCACAAAAAAGUGGUGAUGAAACAUCAGGGAGACGCGCUCACCUAGAUAGUGUGGCUCUAAUCCCAUUGGUGAUAUAGAACAAAUAAGCCUGAGGAAGUGCUCAAAUUAUGUGAAGCCUUAUAAGCCCAAGGAUUUUGGCCUAUAAUUAUAGGUCAAACGUUCAAGUGAAAUAGACCAUAUAAGAGGUCGCAGCGCACUUCAUCACAUUGAAACAUUUAACCUAAUCUGCUCGUAAAAAUAACAGCAGCCACGUCUAAAUAGCUUAAAUACUUACCUUCUUGCCAUUCUUGUUACAGCACAGACUCGAGCUAAUGGGCUCAUGUAUGGCAUAGAUACUUGAAGUACGAGUACUCAACUAUCGUUUCGUCGCAUUAUUUCCUUCGAACAAUGCCAUUGAAAACGUUUUCACACAAAGUUCGCGUUUAUGUUUACAUAUCGUAUUUAUUCUGCGCUUAUUUAAAUGAACUUUCAAAACUAUUGUGUGGGUCAAGGCUUUUACGACAUCUAUAAACCUGCAUCUUAUCGCAUCGUAGGUGACUUAAUGUAAUAUUUGAAAGAAAAAGUCAAACACUAAAAUAAAUGACUAUCUGGUAUUAACCUGUUUUCACAAGCAGCAGCACCGGCACUGGCACAAAAUGCCAAUUCAAAUACAAAUACCAUUUCAAAUGCCGAUAACAGAGGCGAUGCAUUAAAUUAAUACAUCAAACAGCCAUUGAUAGAUGCAAAGAUGCAAAUAAAUACUACACUCAGACACACUAACAGAUGUACGUACAUAUGUACAGGUGUACGUACAUACGUGGGCCUAGUCAAAGUCAACUACGUAGUUCGAUAAGUUAAUGAAACGACGGACAGUUAACACAUUAAUGCUUGAACACAACAUUCGGAGGCCAGUCAAUACCAACCUCCAGCCUCUCCCAGUUGUGCAUAAAUCAAAUGCGAUCGUAUAUCAACGCAUGGAAAUGAAAUAUGAACACAAAUAUUUAUACAUACACUCAUAGCUGGCAUCACAUACUCACAUAUGUACGAGUGUGUGUAUACAAACGAGGCAUGGUAAUUUGUCAAAAAAAGAUUCUACGAUAUAAUCAACGCCAUUUAAUUAGGCGGUAGAGCAGUUGGCCACAGCUUUGGUAUGGAGCUCAGGAAAAGGCUGAAAUCGCCGCGCUACGCUAACAAAGGACUAAGUACAAUAAUGAAAAAAAGCAACAACAAAAAAAUAAAUAAACAAUAAAAGAAAUGUAGAGAACAAUUCAAGAAGCUGUAUUUAUGGCACCUGUAUGCUGUGGAUACCAAUACAGCACAACCGGAUUGACGGGCCACUGGGGUAGAGUUGAGGGCGGUGGGAAGCCAAAGCAGAAAUUUUAUAUCAGUGCCCAGUAAAAAUGGAAAACCCAAGGAAACACGCAUAGAAAUAAAAAAAUCAACAGGAAACUCUUCAUGAUUUAUAUACAUAUUUUCGCUUUUUUACUAAUUUUUCGAACUACAUUUAUGGUUAAUAUUUAAUACAAAGCUGCAUAUGAUAGUAACUAUUAUACGAACCCAUCUCACCGCUGCUAUGGACGAAUUUGGAAUCCCAAAUGCUGUCAUCCGAAUUCACGUCAAGAAAUAGCCUUAGACAAGGUGAUGGAUGACCUCCCGUACCUUCUGUUUUAUCGCGCUCUUGAAAAGGUAAUAAGGGAGCUGGAGUAACCAUAGAUGGGUAUAUAUUCUUCAAAUCAGUACAAAUACUGGCAUAUGCAGAUGAUUUGGACAUUAUAGCGCCAUCCUUAAGGAAGCAUUUAUAAAAAUUGAUUGGCAAGAAGAAUAGGAUGCACUUAAUGCCGACGGAGCAAAGGUCAUGCUGUCAUCACCACAAGAACAAGCAGUGCAGCACAUCGAAAAAUAUUUGGUGAUGUUUGCAAAAAUGGCAUUUGGAGAAUCUCGAGCUUCGUAUAACCACCCGGAUAUUUUCAUGACAAUAAAGCUUAACCGUCUAUGAUGAGCUGGUCACGCUAUAAGGACAUAAGACGAAACAUACCCACCAAAGAAAGAGAGCGCAAAACUCCAAUGGUUUAAUGGCGCAAAUCGGGACGCUGAGCUACUUGGCACACUUUGUUGGAGAACUCAAACCGAGGGAUAAAUCGAAUUUGGAGACAAAUGUUACAGCAAGCCAAGACUCUGCCCGGGUUGUUGAGCUAACCAUGAUGUUGAUGAUGCUAAAGCAAGGUGGCGCCAAACCAAUCACCCCAUCGAAAGAUUUAUAAUUUUUUCCAAUGGUGUCAGGCGUCAACCAUAUUUGACACCAAUGAACUAGAGAAGUAAAGAAUGAUCAAAAUAAAGAUUUCCAUCACUCAAAACUACUUUUUUUAUUAAUAAUUAAAUGUGUACUACUCACUUUGUACUACUCACCUUUCUGCGCCAACACUGACAUCUAAAUUAAGCCGUUAUUAGCAUGCGCCAAUAAUACUGAAACAAAAUAAAAAACAGAAAAGCAAAAAGCAAAUACAGUAGGUUCUGUUUUUAUGCGGUAGAUACGUUCCGCAAGAAACAGCAUAAAAAAACAGCAUAAAAAAGCUACUAGUUCUAUAGUAACACUAUAGAUACGUUUCAAAUGCUAA
Anastrepha ludens (Mexican fruit fly) is the source of this 2963-nucleotide long non-coding RNA. RefSeq lists it as uncharacterized. Lineage: Eukaryota; Metazoa; Arthropoda; Insecta; Diptera; Tephritidae. The record is from RefSeq and is a predicted model, not a curated record. The transcript has 4 exons.